AUGAUUAUGCUGCUACUGUUUUCUCCCCAGAACAUUUGGUUCAAAAAAGAAGGCACUGCUUUUCGUGGUAAAAUGGCUGUGGUGAAACCCUCCAGCAGAGAACCAAAGAAUGCCGAAGAAUCAUUUAACAAGGUAUCAUCCCUCCUUUUGAAGAACCUAGUGGAGGAGCCCAAGAAAAGAACAGAGGUACCUAAUCACCUCCUAGAAUCAACACUAUUGGUUUAAAUGUCCAUAUCGGAAGAAGGAUUUAUCCCACCCCCCAUCACACGCAUCACUGUGGUCUGCUGACUGCCUGCUUAGGCCUCUGCCAUCUGCCAUGUGUAAAGGUGGGCCUGGAUCUUCAGUGUGAUCUAUUCUCCAUUUCAUUUCAUUUCUUGCCUUCAUUUGCCUAAGCUGCUAUCACAAAUAUUGCAAACUGGUUUUCGCAGUAAAUAGGAAUUUAUUGGCUUAUGGCUUUGAAACUAGAAGAAAUCCAAAAUGAGGAUAUCCGCAAUACUUUCUAUGGUAGUUUGAGGCUGUAUGAGACUGUGUGGACCCCAG
This 540-nucleotide long non-coding RNA is filed under the name Dasypus novemcinctus (nine-banded armadillo). Its description in RNAcentral is "lncRNA (ENSDNOG00000050414.1)". Lineage: Eukaryota; Metazoa; Chordata; Mammalia; Cingulata; Dasypodidae. The record is from RNAcentral.